This 492-nucleotide ribosomal RNA is filed under the name uncultured bacterium. Its description in RNAcentral is "partial 16S ribosomal RNA". It matches the Rfam family "Bacterial small subunit ribosomal RNA", at positions 29 to 507 of the family's 1533-position model. The record is from RNAcentral.
AGUGAACGCUGGCGGUAGGCCUAACACAUGCAAGUCGAACGGCAGCACAGUAAGAGCUUGCUCUUACGGGUGGCGAGUGGCGGACGGGUGAGGAAUACAUCGGAAUCUACUUUUUCGUGGGGGAUAACGUAGGGAAACUUACGCUAAUACCGCAUACGACCUACGGGUGAAAGCAGGGGAUCUUCGGACCUUGCGCGAUUGAAUGAGCCGAGGUCGGAUUAGCUAGUUGGCGGGGUAAAGGCCGACCAAGGCGACGAACCGUAGCUGGUCUGAGGGGAUGAUCAGCCACACUGGAACUGAGACACGGUCCAGACUCCUACGGGAGGCAGCAGUGGGGAAUAUUGGACAAGGGGCGCAAGCCUGAUCCAGCCAUACCGCGUGGGUGAAGAAGGCCUUCGGGUUGUAAAGCCCUUUUGUUGGGAAAGAAAAGCAGCAGGUUAAUACCCCGCUGUUCUGACGGUACCCAAAGAAUAAGCACCGGCUAACUUCGUG